ACUCCUACGGGAGGCAGCAGUAAGGAAUAUUGCGCAAUGGGCGACAGCCUGACGCAGCGACGCCGCGUGGGGGAUGAAGGUCUUCGGAUUGUAAACCCCUUUCGGCAGGGAAGAUGGAACGGGUAACCGUUCGGACGGUACCUGCAGAAGCAGCCACGGCUAACUUCGUGCCAGCAGCCGCGGUAAUACGAAGGUGGCAAGCGUUGUUCGGAUUUACUGGGCGUACAGGGAGCGUAGGCGGUUGGGUAAGCCCUUCGUGAAAUCUCCGGGCCUAACCCGGAAAGUGCGGAGGGGACUACUNGGCUAGAGGAUGGGAGAGGAGCGCGGAAUUCCCG
This 335-nucleotide ribosomal RNA is filed under the name uncultured Nitrospira sp. Its description in RNAcentral is "bacterial SSU rRNA". It matches the Rfam family "Bacterial small subunit ribosomal RNA", at positions 335 to 672 of the family's 1533-position model. The record is from RNAcentral. Lineage: Bacteria; Pseudomonadati; Nitrospirota; Nitrospiria; Nitrospirales; Nitrospiraceae.